AUUGAACGCUGGCGGCAUGCCUUACACAUGCAAGUCGAACGGCAGCACGGGAGCAAUCCUGGUGGCGAGUGGCGAACGGGUGAGUAAUAGUAUCGGAACGUGCCCAGUCGUGGGGGAUAACGUAGCGAAAGCUACGCUAAUACCGCAUACGAUCUAUGGAUGAAAGCGGGGGAUCGCAAGACCUCGCGCGAUUGGAGCGGCCGAUAUCAGAUUAGGUAGUUGGUGGGGUAAAAGCCUACCAAGCCUUCGAUCUGUAGCUGGUACUGAGAGACGACCAGCCACACUGGAACUGAGACACGGUCCAGACUCCUAC
This 313-nucleotide ribosomal RNA is filed under the name uncultured bacterium. RNAcentral's name for it is "bacterial SSU rRNA". It matches the Rfam family "Bacterial small subunit ribosomal RNA", at positions 30 to 342 of the family's 1533-position model. The record is from RNAcentral.